Molecule: non-coding RNA, 123 nt
Organism: Oryctolagus cuniculus (rabbit)
Lineage: Eukaryota; Metazoa; Chordata; Mammalia; Lagomorpha; Leporidae
Source: Ensembl
AUCCUGUCUCCCUUGGUGCUGUGGGGGUCCCCUCUCUCCCCAGCCGGGGCUGGAGGCUGAGAUUAGCCCUGCUGGGGACGUCGCCGGGUCUGCUCGAGCCUCGUUUUCCUACUUCACAUAUCU